CUACGGGCGGCAGCAGUGGGGAAUAUUGGACAAUGGGCGAAAGCCUGAUCCAGCCAUGCCGCGUGUGUGAAGAAGGCCUUCGGGUUGUAAAGCACUUUCAGUGGGGAAGAAAGCCUUGGGGCUAAUACCCUCGAGGAAGGACAUCACCCACAGAAGAAGCACCGGCUAACUCCGUGCCAGCAGCCGCGGUAAUACGGAGGGUGCGAGCGUUAAUCGGAAUUACUGGGCGUAAAGCGCGCGUAGGCGGUCUGAUAAGCCGGUUGUGAAAGCCCCGGGCUCAACCUGGGAACGGCAUCCGGAACUGUCAGGCUAGAGUGCAGGAGAGGAAGGUAGAAUUCCCGGUGUAGCGGUGAAAUGCGUAGAGAUCGGGAGGAAUACCAGUGGCGAAGGCGGCCUUCUGGACUGACACUGACGCUGAGGUGCGAAAGCAUGGGUAGCAAACAGGAUUAGAUACCCCAGUAGUC
This 464-nucleotide ribosomal RNA is filed under the name Vreelandella stevensii. Its description in RNAcentral is "partial 16S ribosomal RNA". It matches the Rfam family "Bacterial small subunit ribosomal RNA", at positions 339 to 795 of the family's 1533-position model. Lineage: Bacteria; Pseudomonadati; Pseudomonadota; Gammaproteobacteria; Oceanospirillales; Halomonadaceae. The record is from RNAcentral.